CUCUGGGAUAAGCCUGGGAAACUGGGUCUAAUACCGGAUAGGACCACACACUUCAUGGUGAGUGGUGCAAAGCUUUUGCGGUGUGGGAUGAGCCCGCGGCCUAUCAGCUUGUUGGUGGGGUAAUGGCCCACCAAGGCGACGACGGGUAGCCGGCCUGAGAGGGUGACCGGCCACACUGGGACUGAGAUACGGCCCAGACUCCUACGGGAGGCAGCAGUGGGGAAUAUUGCACAAUGGGCGCAAGCCUGAUGCAGCGACGCCGCGUGAGGGAUGACGGCCUUCGGGUUGUAAACCUCUUUCAGUAGGGACGAAGCGAAAGUGACGGUACCUACAGAAGAAGGACCGGC
RNAcentral lists this ribosomal RNA (347 nucleotides) under Enterococcus faecium. RNAcentral's name for it is "bacterial SSU rRNA". It matches the Rfam family "Bacterial small subunit ribosomal RNA", at positions 136 to 497 of the family's 1533-position model. Lineage: Bacteria; Bacillati; Bacillota; Bacilli; Lactobacillales; Enterococcaceae. The record is from RNAcentral.